GAGCGAACGCUGGCGGCAGGCCUAACACAUGCAAUUCGAACGAACUCUUCGGAGUUAGUGGCGUACGGGUGAGUAACACGUGGGAACGUGCCUUUUGGUUCGGAAUAACUCAGGUAAACUUGUGCUAAUACCGAAUGUGCCCUUCGGGGGAAAGAUUUAUCGCCAUUAGAGCGGCCCGCGUCUGAUUAGCUAGUUGGUGAGGUAACGGCUCACCAAGGCGACGAUCAGUAGCUGGUCUGUGAGGAUGACCAGCCACACUGGGACUGAGACACGGCCCAGACUCCUACGGGACGGAGCAGUGGGGAAUCUUGCGCAAUGAGCGAAAGCCUGACGCAGCCAUGCCGCGUGAAUGAUGAAGGUCUUAGGAUUGUAAAAUUCUUUCACCGGAGACGAUAAUGACGGUACCCGGAGAAGAAGCCCCGGCUAACUUCGUG
Molecule: ribosomal RNA, 434 nt
Filed under: uncultured bacterium
Lineage: Bacteria
Description: partial 16S ribosomal RNA
Rfam family: Bacterial small subunit ribosomal RNA
Source: RNAcentral